AUUGAACGCUGGCGGCAGGCCUAACACAUGCAAGUCGAACGGUAACAGGAAGAAGCUUGCUUCUUUGCUGACGAGUGGCGGACGGGUGAGUAAUGUCUGGGAAACUGCCUGAUGGAGGGGGAUAACUACUGGAAACGGUAGCUAAUACCGCAUAACGUCGCAAGACCAAAGAGGGGGACCUUCGGGCCUCUUGCCAUCGGAUGUGCCCAGAUGGGAUUAGCUAGUAGGUGGGGUAACGGCUCACCUAGGCGACGAUCCCUAGCUGGUCUGAGAGGAUGACCAGCCACACGGGAACUGAGACACGGUCCAGACUCCUACGGGAGGCAGCAGUGGGGAAUAUUGCACGAUGGGCGCAAGCCUGAUGCAGCCAUGCCGCGUGUAUGAAGAAGGCCUUCGGGUUGUAAAGUACUUUCAGCGGGGAGGAAGGGAGUAAAGUUAAUACCUUUGCUCAUUGACGUUACCCGCAGAAGAAGCACCGGCUAACUCCGUG
Molecule: ribosomal RNA, 490 nt
Filed under: uncultured bacterium
Lineage: Bacteria
Description: partial 16S ribosomal RNA
Rfam family: Bacterial small subunit ribosomal RNA
Source: RNAcentral